GAACGAACUAGCAGCUACUCAUGAAGACCACUACAGUAGCUCCGUGGAAGCACGUAGGCCUAGGAGGCAUCGAGAAUCUUUGCAUGACAAAGUACACGACACCUGGUAAAGCAUGCAGAUUCCAACCUCUCUCGCUUAUUUUUGCUGCCGUUGAAAGUUUUAUUAAGCUAAAAUUUGCUCCAUCAAAUUAAGAUCGAGAUGGUACGGAUGCGUUUUGUAACCAACCAUUAUUGCAUCUCGUAGGAUGAUGCCCAUCGAAUCAAAGAUGAGCUUACGCAAUGCAAUCUGGCCUGCCUCGUUGCCAUCCGCAUCCGCAUGGUGGGAUUGACUGUUGCCGACUACCUCGCCGUCGCCGCCUACCAUGCACCCUCGAUUCGUGGAGCAGGCCGUGGUUGCCUACCUCCGCGAUGGCUAUGUCCUGUGUAGAAGACACCGCAGAGUGGCUCGAUAAAGCGCGCCAGCUGUGCUCAUGUGGAUGAUAUUCUAGGGGCGGAACGUCAUUUCAUAGAUGCUCUGCCACAGCAGUUUCAACCACAUAUACGUAAUCUCCAGCGUAAUAGGUAGAUGCCAUUUCUUCCGGUCUUGUCGAGGAGGUGAAACAAAUUAAUAAACGAAAAAAAUGUUUGCUUAUUUUGAAUUUGUUGGAUUCUCAAAUGCAUCCAUGCAUGCAUCUACGUUGAACCCAUAUGAUCCCAAGAAGAUUGCAAAGAUCUAAGUGUUAGGAACAUGCAUGCAUGGUUUUUAGUUUGCCCGACUGUAGGUACACGUUGAUGUGAAUCAGUUUUACGUAACAGCAAUAUGGGGGCUUGGAGCUGACCUGCUUCAUUCUCAUGCUGUGCCGUUGCUUGCUGGGAUUGGAAACACUGCAUGGCGUCAGCUUCAGCUAUUUCACUGCAUUUCAUUUCUUAUGUUAGGAUGCGAACCUACAUAUCGAAAUUGAAGGAAAGGAGAGCCACGGAGUCAGGUUUAUAAAUGAAGCCAUGGUGAGCGUGAUUGCGCACCUAUGUUUAUAAAUCAUCCUAAUAUAAGAAUUGGCAUGGUGAAUCAGCAUUAGCAGCUACAGAUGACAACUCACAAAGCCAUAGUGAGUGCUAGUUGGAACGUCAUUGUCUCGCUAUGGGUAAUCGGCUUGGAGGCAUCAGGAUUUUUU
RNAcentral lists this long non-coding RNA (1150 nucleotides) under Setaria italica (foxtail millet). RNAcentral's name for it is "long non-coding RNA (SITA_LNC002584)". Lineage: Eukaryota; Viridiplantae; Streptophyta; Magnoliopsida; Poales; Poaceae. The record is from RNAcentral.